This 224-nucleotide non-coding RNA is filed under the name Shouchella clausii. RNAcentral's name for it is "Bacillus clausii T-box sequence". It matches the Rfam family "T-box leader". Rfam says of the family: Uncharged tRNA acts as the effector for transcription antitermination of genes in the T-box leader family. T-boxes are found upstream of many aminoacyl-tRNA synthetase genes and some amino acid biosynthetic genes usually in Gram-positive bacteria. The record is from RNAcentral. Lineage: Bacteria; Bacillati; Bacillota; Bacilli; Caryophanales; Bacillaceae.
GGAAAUACAAGGAUAAAGGAGUAGUAGCGUCACUUCGGAAAGCAAGAGAGCUGGCGGACGGUGCAAGCCAGCCUGAGAAGAGAUGUGAACUCGCCUUUUAGUUGUAAGAGUGAACCGCAUUGCCAGUAGCUCUUAACGGGACACACCGUUAUGUGUAAGUGAACAGGCGAUGCCUGUUAAUGUGGGUGGCACCGCGGGAAUGUAUGCAAACUCUCGUCCCUUUU